This 430-nucleotide ribosomal RNA is filed under the name Pseudomonadota bacterium. Its description in RNAcentral is "Proteobacteria bacterium partial 16S ribosomal RNA". It matches the Rfam family "Bacterial small subunit ribosomal RNA", at positions 355 to 776 of the family's 1533-position model. Lineage: Bacteria; Pseudomonadati; Pseudomonadota. The record is from RNAcentral.
UGGGGAAUAUUGGACAAUGGGGGGAACCCUGAUCCAGCCAUGCCGCGUGUGUGAAGAAGGCCUUAUGGUUGUAAAGCACUUUAAGCGAGGAGGAGGGUACUGGUAUUAAUACUACCAGGUACUGGACGUUACUCGCAGAAUAAGCACCGGCUAACUCUGUGCCAGCAGCCGCGGUAAUACAGAGGGUGCGAGCGUUAAUCGGAAUUACUGGGCGUAAAGCGCGCGUAGGUGGUUCGUUAAGAUGAAUGUGAAAGCCCCGGGCUCAACCUGGGAACUGCAUCCAAAACUGGCGAGCUAGAGUAGGGCAGAGGGUGGUGGAAUUUCCUGUGUAGCGGUGAAAUGCGUAGAUAUAGGAAGGAACACCAGUGGCGAAGGCGACCACCUGGGCUCAUACUGACACUGAGGUGCGAAAGCGUGGGGAGCAAACAGG